RNAcentral lists this long non-coding RNA (1951 nucleotides) under Mus musculus (house mouse). Its description in RNAcentral is "long non-coding RNA chr8:72714926-72716877". Lineage: Eukaryota; Metazoa; Chordata; Mammalia; Rodentia; Muridae. The record is from RNAcentral.
GGUAUGAGAGGGAAUGAGGUUCGUCACUGUGCAGCCAACUUACUCAUUGAACAUGAUGUCCUUCAGUUCUGUCUGUUUUGCUACAAAUGAUAGUCUCUCAUGUUCUUCUCUAUGGCUGUGAACUGUCCUAUCACUGAGUGUACCACAGUCCUUUGUCCACCCACUUUGGUGUUGGUGACUGCUAGUUUAGGAGUCUCCAGCCAUACCAUCUCUGUUUAAUUGAAGGACCUGUAGUUUGAGCAGAGAACCCCUGAAGGGGAAAGAAGGCCACAUUUUUGUUAAGACUUUUCUAUGAAUUGUGGACAUUAUAUCAAAACUGUGGAAAGUUUUGAUGCACAGCUUCUGGCCUAAAAUUCCAAUGUCUGGGGCAUGGUCACGCAAGCAUUUAGUCCCAGCCUUGGGAGGUAGAGGCAGGAGGAUCUCUGAGUUUGAGGCCAGGGUGUUCUACAUAGCAAGACCCUGUCUCAAAACAAAACAAAACAAAAGAAAAUUCUUGUGUUCAUCGAAACAACCUGAAGGAGAUUAAAUUAUGAACUAUGUUCUGGGUUGGUGGCUGGGGAGAGCACAGGGUAUGAGGAGCAUGUUAGCAGUUUCUGCUGCUGUGUGAAUGUCAGAGUGUGACCCCUGGUCAUCAGAGCAUGACCCCUGUUCCUGUAGGCACUGUGGAUGAAAACAUGCCACACAGACUAUGCUCACUAAACCCACUGCAGACAGCUGGCUAUUCCAGGGUUAUUUAGUUGCUGUGAGCCAAACACCUGACUCAGUAGUUUAAACAGGGAAGGGUUUCUUUGGGCUUAGGGUUUGCAGUUCCAGUCCACCACGGUGAAAGCCCGGGGUAGGGGGAGGGGAGGGGCUCAUAGCUGUGGCUCACAUGGGGGAGAUACUUUGUUGUUUAAAAUCCAUUCUAGAUCUCUGGUCCAUGGCAUGGUGCCACCCCUGUUCAGGGUGAGUCUUCUGUCCUCAGUUAAAGCUCCCUGGAAAUGCUCUCACAGACUUCCAAGGGAGUCCAUAUCUAGUCAAAGUGACAGUGACCAGGGUUGGUCAUCCCUUACCAACCUGGCACAUACAUCCCCUUACAUCACAGUCGCCUGCCCUGUCCCUAGGCCUUCUUGGCCAUCUCAAAAUGCAAGGUGCAUUUGGUCUGUCUCUGAAUGUGCUCAAAAUAAUUUUAUUUUAUUUGUGUGUAGGGGCAGGAGGUAAAGCUAUGAGGUAUAUGUGGAUCUUGGAGUACGGCUUGUAAGAGUUGUUUUUUUUCCCCACCAAGUGGUUGUUGGGGAUCAAACUCACUGGGGUCAGGCUUAGCAGCAGGCACCUGCAUACACCAAGCCCUCUCACCAGCCCCUCAAAUGCCCAACAUUGUUCAGAAGCCUCUACUGAGGCUCCAGCACCCCCUUAACUGUAAACUCUGUAAAAUAAUAUAAAGGAAGUUAUAAACUUUCAAUAUGUAUGAGUCCAGCUUGGCUGCACAGUGAGUGAGACCAACAACAACCAACCUUUUAACUUCCAAGGGCACAGGUUAAAAUAGGAAAGAAUGAGUGCAUCAAAAGAAAAAAUCAGACCAAAGCUGACAGGAGUCUGCUGGGAAAUACCAAAUCCUGAAAUGUGGCAUUCCAAACCUGGAGCUCUUGGCCCAGCAUCUGGGCCUCAACAGUCUACCUGCUGCACAUGCAGCCUCUCUCAUGGGGUAGUUCUGCUCACCCAUGCCUUUCUUGGGAAAACAUACCAUGGUCCUGGUGUUUUCAAAAUUCUGAGGUCCUGGGCUGACAAGAUGGCUCAGUGAGUGAAGGCAUUUGCUGCCAAGUCGGAGGAGGUGAAUUAGAUCCCCAAGGCUUACGUGGUGGAAGGAGAGGACUGACUCCCACAGGUUCUUAUCUGACCUCCACACUUGUGCUUUGGCAGGCACGUCAUUGUACACACAUAUAUGCUGAAUAAAUAAAUGUAAUAAAAAAGU